UGCCUAACUCCAGAAGCUAACUGAAUUUGUUCGUUCCAAGCCGCUCUCAGCUUGGUGGUUCAGUGAACUCUUUGGUUCCUGUUCUCGUCUCUUUUCUUUUUCCGACCUAUUAGUUUAUGGUUUUUGCUUUUUCACCUUUCUGGGCCUCCGUAACUCUCGCUCCCGUGGCUCGGCUCAGUUGGGUGGGACCCUCUUUUGUGUUGACUUUGCCCCCUUCCUCGUCUCUGAGUUGGCUUGGAUCCCCAAAGCGGACGUAGAAGCGUGUACUACAAGUAUGCAGGAGUGUUUCUGCAUGUGGUUCUGUAUGAUGCACUCCGGUUUUUGGUCUCCCGUGUCGGCGCAUGUAGAUAAGUACAUGGUGCGGUACAGUGGUCCGGGC
This 379-nucleotide small RNA is filed under the name Histoplasma capsulatum. RNAcentral describes it as "hypothetical RNA". RNAcentral also lists the same sequence under 1 other name. Lineage: Eukaryota; Fungi; Ascomycota; Eurotiomycetes; Onygenales; Ajellomycetaceae. The record is from RNAcentral.